Molecule: ribosomal RNA, 460 nt
Filed under: Lymantria similis
Lineage: Eukaryota; Metazoa; Arthropoda; Insecta; Lepidoptera; Erebidae
Description: partial large subunit ribosomal RNA
Source: RNAcentral
UGCCCACUGAUUUAAUUAUUAAAGGGCUGCAGUAUUUUGACUGUACAAAGGUAGCAUAAUCAUUAGUCAUUUAAUUGAUGACUUGUAUGAAAGAUUGGAUGAAAUAUAGACUGUCUUUAAAUUAAUAUUUAGAAUUUAAUUUUUAAGUUAAAAAGCUUAAAUAAAUUAAAAAGACGAGAAGACCCUAUAGAGUUUUAUUUUUUAUUUAAAAUUUAUAUUUUUAUAAAUUUAUUAAUUAAAUUUUGAUAAAUAAUUUUGUUGGGGUGAUGAAAAAAUUUAAUUAACUUUUUUUUUUUUUUACAUAAAUAAGUGAGUAGAUGAUCCAAUAUUAUUGAUUAUAAGAAAAAAUUACCUUAGGGAUAACAGCGUAAUUUUAUUUUUUAGUUCAUAUAAUAAAUAGAGUUUGCGACCUCGAUGUUGGAUUAAGAUAAAAUUUAAAUGCAGAAGUUUAAAAUUUUGA